Molecule: ribosomal RNA, 451 nt
Filed under: uncultured bacterium
Lineage: Bacteria
Description: bacterial SSU rRNA
Rfam family: Bacterial small subunit ribosomal RNA
Source: RNAcentral
AGCAGUGGGGAAUAUUGCACAAUGGGGGAAACCCUGAUGCAGCCAUGCCGCGUGUGUGAAGAAGGCCUUCGGGUUGUAAAGCACUUUCAGUAGGGAGGAAGGUAGUGUAGUUAACACCCUGCACUAUUUGACGUUACCUACAGAAGAAGCACCGGCUAACUCCGUGCCAGCAGCCGCGGUAAUACGGAGGGUGCGAGCGUUAAUCGGAAUUACUGGGCGUAAAGCGCAUGCAGGCGGCCUGUUAAGUCAGAUGUGAAAGCCCGGGGCUUAACCUCGGAAUUGCAUUUGAAACUGGCAGGCUAGAGUCUUGUAGAGGGGGUAGAAUUUCAGGUGUAGCGGUGAAAUGCGUAGAGAUCUGAAGGAAUACCAGUGGCGAAGGCGGCCCCCUGGACAAAGACUGACGCUCAGAUGCGAAAGCGUGGGGAGCAAACAGGAUUAGAUACCCUGGUAG